UCCAGACUCCUACGGGAGGCAGCAGUGGGGAAUAUUGCACAAUGGGGGAAACCCUGAUGCAGCGACGCCGCGUGGGCGACGAAGCGCUCCGGCGCGUAAAGCCCUGUCAGCAGGGAAGAACAAAGACAGUACCUGACCAAGAAGCCCCGGCUAACUACGUGCCAGCAGCCGCGGUAAUACGUAGGGGGCAAGCGUUAUCCGGAUUUACUGGGUGUAAAGGGAGCGUAGACGGCAGCGCAAGUCUGAAGUGAAAUGCCGGGGCUUAACCCCGGAACUGCUUUGGAAACUGAGCAGCUAGAGUGCAGGAGAGGUAAGUGGAAUUCCUAGUGUAGCGGUGAAAUGCGUAGAUAUUAGGAGGAACACCAGUGGCGAAGGCGGCUUACUGGACUGUAACUGACGUUGAGGCUCGAAAGCGUGGGGAGCAAACAGGAUUAGAUACCCCAGUAUG
RNAcentral lists this ribosomal RNA (448 nucleotides) under uncultured bacterium. RNAcentral's name for it is "partial 16S ribosomal RNA". It matches the Rfam family "Bacterial small subunit ribosomal RNA", at positions 330 to 793 of the family's 1533-position model. The record is from RNAcentral.